RNAcentral lists this ribosomal RNA (239 nucleotides) under uncultured bacterium. RNAcentral's name for it is "partial 16S ribosomal RNA". It matches the Rfam family "Bacterial small subunit ribosomal RNA", at positions 100 to 339 of the family's 1533-position model. The record is from RNAcentral.
GAACGGGUGAGGAUCACGUGAGAAACGUGCCCCAGACUCUGGGAUAACAAUUGGAAACGAUUGCUAAUACCGGAUGACGUCGGAGAAUCGCAUGAUUCACUGACGAAAGGAAAUCCGGUUUGGGAGGGUCUCGCGGCCUAUCAGCUUGUUGGGGAGGUAACGGCUCACCAAGGCUUCGACGGGUAGCUGGUCUGAGAGGAUGAUCAGCCACACUGGGACUGAGACACGGCCCAGACUCC